UAGCGAUAGCUAAUUGCAAAUAUCGACUUAGUCGAAUAAAAUUCUAGGUAGAAUUAUGAUAAUGACAUUAUCUGCCUAUGUGUCUUGACCAAAUUACGUGCCAGCUGUCGCGGUAAUACGUAAAAGACUAGUGUUAUUCAUCUUUAAUAGGUUUAAAGGGUACCUAGACGGUAAAUCAAGCACUAAUUUACUAGAGUUAUUUGUGAGGGGGCUCUAAGGUACUGCUGGUGUAGAGAUGAAAUUCUUUGAUACCUUUUUUCGACGGCACAGAUAUAGGUGAAAACAUCCCCUUAUGUAAUAACUGACGUUGAAGGACGAAGG
RNAcentral lists this ribosomal RNA (321 nucleotides) under Lecanora flavoviridis. RNAcentral's name for it is "SSU rRNA". It matches the Rfam family "Bacterial small subunit ribosomal RNA", at positions 389 to 759 of the family's 1533-position model. Lineage: Eukaryota; Fungi; Ascomycota; Lecanoromycetes; Lecanorales; Lecanoraceae. The record is from RNAcentral.